GACGAACCGUGCGAACGUUGUUCGGAAUCACUGGGCUUAAAGGGCGCGUAGGCGGCUUGCCAAGUCGGUGGUGAAAUCCUGCAGCUUAACUGUAGAAGUGCCUCCGAUACUGGCAAGCUCGAGGGAGGUAGGGGUCUGCGGAACUUCUGGUGGAGCGGUGAAAUGCGUUGAUAUCAGAAGGAACGCCGGUGGCGAAAGCGGCGGACUGGACCUCUUCUGACGCUGAGGCGCGAAAGCCAGGGGAGCAAACGGG
This 253-nucleotide ribosomal RNA is filed under the name uncultured prokaryote. RNAcentral describes it as "partial 16S ribosomal RNA". It matches the Rfam family "Bacterial small subunit ribosomal RNA", at positions 524 to 776 of the family's 1533-position model. The record is from RNAcentral.